GAUCAUUACCGAGUGCAGGUCUGCCCCCGGGCAGGCCUAACCUCCCACCCGUGAAUACCUGACCAACGUUGCUUCGGCGGUGCGCCCCCCCGGGGGCAGCCGCCGGAGACCACACCGAACCUCUUGUUAUAGCAUGUCGUCUGAGCUUGAUACAAGCAAACCUAAUUAAAACUUUCAACAAUGGAUCUCUUGGUUCCGGCAUCGAUGAAGAACGCAGCGAACUGCGAUAAGUAAUGUGAAUUGCAGAAUUCAGUGAAUCAUCGAGUCUUUGAACGCACAUUGCGCCCCCUGGCAUUCCGGGGGGCAUGCCUGUCCGAGCGUCAUUGCUGCCCUUCAAGCCCGGCUUGUGUGUUGGGUCGUCGUCCCCCCCCCCCCCCCCCGGGGGACGGGCCCGAAAGGCAGCGGCGGCACCGCGUCCUGGUCCUCGAGCGUAUGGGGCUUUGUCACCCGCUCGUUUAGGGCCGGCCGGGCGCCAGCCGACGUCUCCAAACCUUUUAU
This 498-nucleotide unclassified non-coding RNA is filed under the name Aspergillus baeticus. RNAcentral describes it as "sequence contains 18S rRNA gene, ITS1, 5.8S rRNA gene, ITS2, 28S rRNA gene". The stretch from base 170 to 323 matches the Rfam family "5.8S ribosomal RNA". The record is from RNAcentral. Lineage: Eukaryota; Fungi; Ascomycota; Eurotiomycetes; Eurotiales; Aspergillaceae.